UGAACGCUGGCGGCGUGCCUAAUACAUGCAAGUCGAGCGAACGGACGAGAAGCUUGCUUCUCUGAUGUUAGCGGCGGACGGGUGAGUAACACGUGGAUAACCUACCUAUAAGACUGGGAUAACUUCGGGAAACCGGAGCUAAUACCGGAUAAUAUUUUGAACCGCAUGGUUCAAAAGUGAAAGACGGUCUUGCUGUCACUUAUAGAUGGAUCCGCGCUGCAUUAGCUAGUUGGUAAGGUAACGGCUUACCAAGGCAACGAUGCAUAGCCGACCUGAGAGGGUGAUCGGCCACACUGGAACUGAGGCACGGUCCAGACUCCUACGGGAGGCAGCAGUAGGGAAUCUUCCGCAAUGGGCGAAAGCCUGACGGAGCAACGCCGCGUGAGUGAUGAAGGUCUUCGGAUCGUAAAACUCUGUUAUUAGGGAAGAACAUAUGUGUAAGUAACUGUGCACAUCUUACGGUACCUAAUCAGAAAGCCACGGCUAACUACGUG
This 494-nucleotide ribosomal RNA is filed under the name uncultured bacterium. RNAcentral's name for it is "partial 16S ribosomal RNA". It matches the Rfam family "Bacterial small subunit ribosomal RNA", at positions 30 to 507 of the family's 1533-position model. The record is from RNAcentral.